GACGAACGCUGGCGGCGCGCCUAACACAUGCAAGUCGAACGGAGCUGAGAGAAGCUUGCUUUUCUUAGCUUAGUGGCGAACGGGUGAGUAACGCGUGAGUAACCUGCCCUGGAGUGGGGGACAACAGUUGGAAACGACUGCUAAUACCGCAUAAGCCCACGAUCCGGCAUCGGAUUGAGGGAAAAGGAUUUAUUCGCUUCAGGAUGGACUCGCGUCCAAUUAGCUAGUUGGUGAGGUAACGGCCCACCAAGGCGACGAUUGGUAGCCGGACUGAGAGGUUGACCGGCACAAUUGGAACUGGGACACGGCCCGGACCCUAAGGGAGGGAAGCGUGGGGGAUAUUGCACAAUGGGGGAAACCCUGAUGCAGCGACGCCGCGUGGAGGAAGAAGGUUUUCGGAUUGUAAACUCCUGUCUUUAGGGACGAUAAUGACGGUACCUAACAAGAAAGCACCGGCUAACUACGUG
RNAcentral lists this ribosomal RNA (467 nucleotides) under uncultured bacterium. RNAcentral's name for it is "partial 16S ribosomal RNA". It matches the Rfam family "Bacterial small subunit ribosomal RNA", at positions 28 to 507 of the family's 1533-position model. The record is from RNAcentral.